RNAcentral lists this ribosomal RNA (433 nucleotides) under uncultured bacterium. RNAcentral's name for it is "partial 16S ribosomal RNA". It matches the Rfam family "Bacterial small subunit ribosomal RNA", at positions 29 to 507 of the family's 1533-position model. The record is from RNAcentral.
AACGAACGCUGGCGGCAGGCCUAACACAUGCAAGUCGAGCGAGCAUUUCGGUGCUAGCGGCGGACGGGUGAGUAACGCGUGGGAACGUGCCCUUUUCUGCGGAAUAGUCCUGGGAAACUGGGGGUAAUACCGCAUACGCCCUUUUGGGGAAAGAUUUAUCGGAGAAGGAUCGGCCCGCGUUGGAGUAGGUAGUUGGUGGGGUAAUGGCCCACCAAGCCGACGAUCCAUAGCUGGUUUGAGAGGAUGAUCAGCCACACUGGGACUGAGACACGGCCCAGACUCCUACGGGAGGCAGCAGUGGGGAAUCUUAGACCAUGGGGGCAACCCUGAUCGAGCCCUGCCGCGUGAGUGAUGAAGGCCUUAGGGUUGUAAAGCUCUUUCAGCUGGGAAGAUAAUGACGGUACCAGCAGAAGAAGCCCCGGCUAACUCCGUG